CGGACGGGCGGGCGCUUGUCGCCGGGGGCGAGGCGGGCGAGCUGAACUUGUUGGCUCCGCCGCCUCAGCCGAGCCUGCUGUGUCAGCAGCUGUACGCGCAUGACCUCGGGGUUUUGAGCUGUGAUUUCGCGGAUAGUUUUGAAAAUUCCGAAUCUGAAGACGAGAAGUCUACGCUACUACUGGCGACGGGAGGUCGUGACGCGUUAGUGAAGCUGUGGUGGGUGAGGUUGAGCGUGGAUGAGACUGGCGCGCAGACGGGUGCUCUGGAGCUGGCGAGCAGUCUGGCG
Molecule: unclassified non-coding RNA, 287 nt
Filed under: Melitaea cinxia (Glanville fritillary)
Lineage: Eukaryota; Metazoa; Arthropoda; Insecta; Lepidoptera; Nymphalidae
Description: misc RNA ENSMCXG00005016790.1
Source: RNAcentral